AUUGAACGCUGGCGGCAGGCCUAACACAUGCAAGUCGAGCGGAUGAAGGGAGCUUGCUCCUGGAUUCAGCGGCGGACGGGUGAGUAAUGCCUAGGAAUCUGCCUGGUAGUGGGGGAUAACGUCCGGACACGGGCGCUAAUACCGCAUACGUCCUGAGGGAGAAAGUGGGGGAUCUUCGGACCUCACGCUAUCAGAUGAGCCUAGGUCGGAUUAGCUAGUUGGUGGGGUAAAGGCCUACCAAGGCGACGAUCCGUAACUGGUCUGAGAGGAUGAUCAGUCACACUGGAACUGAGACACGGUCCAGAAUCCUACGGGAGGCAGCAGUGGGGAAUAUUAGACAAUGGGCGAAAGCCUGAUCCAGCCAUGCCGCGUGUGUGAAGAAGGUCUUCGGAUUGUAAAGCACUUUAAGUUGGGAGGAAGGGCAGUAAGUUAAUACCUUGCUGUUUUGACGUUACCAACAGAAUAAGCACCGGCUAACUUCGUG
This 484-nucleotide ribosomal RNA is filed under the name uncultured bacterium. Its description in RNAcentral is "partial 16S ribosomal RNA". It matches the Rfam family "Bacterial small subunit ribosomal RNA", at positions 30 to 507 of the family's 1533-position model. The record is from RNAcentral.